RNAcentral lists this ribosomal RNA (997 nucleotides) under Secundilactobacillus paracollinoides. RNAcentral describes it as "bacterial SSU rRNA". It matches the Rfam family "Bacterial small subunit ribosomal RNA", at positions 57 to 1022 of the family's 1533-position model. The record is from RNAcentral. Lineage: Bacteria; Bacillati; Bacillota; Bacilli; Lactobacillales; Lactobacillaceae.
GCAGUCGAACGCAUCCCGUUAAAUGAAGUGCUUGCACGGAUUUUAACAUUGGAUGAGUGGCGAACUGGUGAGUAACACGUGGGUAACCUGCCCAGAAGCAGGGGAUAACACUUGGAAACAGGUGCUAAUACCGUAUAACAACAAAAACCGCAUGGUUUUUGUUUGAAAGGUGGUUUCGGCUAUCACUUCUGGAUGGACCCGCGGCGUAUUAGCUAGUUGGUGGAGUAAUGGUUCACCAAGGCAAUGAUACGUAGCCGACCUGAGAGGGUAAUCGGCCACAUUGGGACUGAGACACGGCCCAAACUCCUACGGGAGGCAGCAGUAGGGAAUCUUCCACAAUGGACGAAAGUCUGAUGGAGCAACGCCGCGUGAGUGAAGAAGGUUUUCGGAUCGUAAAACUCUGUUGUUGAAGAAGAACACGUUUGAGAGUAACUGUUCAGACGUUGACGGUAUUCAACCAGAAAGCCACGGCUAACUACGUGCCAGCAGCCGCGGUAAUACGUAGGUGGCAAGCGUUAUCCGGAUUUAUUGGGCGUAAAGCGAGCGCAGGCGGUUACUUAAGUCUGAUGUGAAAGCCUUCGGCUUAACCGGAGAAGUGCAUCGGAAACUGGGUAACUUGAGUGCAGAAGAGGACAGUGGAACUCCAUGUGUAGCGGUGAAAUGCGUAGAUAUAUGGAAGAACACCAGUGGCGAAGGCGGCUGUCUGGUCUGUAACUGACGCUGAGGCUCGAAAGCAUGGGUAGCGAACAGGAUUAGAUACCCUGGUAGUCCAUGCCGUAAACGAUGAAUGCUAGGUGUUGGAGGGUUUCCGCCCUUCAGUGCCGCAGCUAACGCAUUAAGCAUUCCGCCUGGGGAGUACGACCGCAAGGUUGAAACUCAAAGGAAUUGACGGGGGCCCGCACAAGCGGUGGAGCAUGUGGUUUAAUUCGAAGCUACGCGAAGAACCUUACCAGGUCUUGACAUACUGUGCUAACCUAGAGAUUAGGCGUUCCCUUCG